RNAcentral lists this long non-coding RNA (268 nucleotides) under Lathyrus oleraceus (garden pea). RNAcentral's name for it is "Pisum sativum (pea) long non-coding RNA (PSAT_LNC026113)". The record is from RNAcentral. Lineage: Eukaryota; Viridiplantae; Streptophyta; Magnoliopsida; Fabales; Fabaceae.
UUUGAGCGACACAACACUUACAACUCAAUGAACACCCUAUGCCAAAGCAAUCAUCAACGUGAUAAAGGCUUGGCUUACAAGAUAUGUCUAAUACAAGACUCACAAAAAUACAGCAGUGAAGUAUGAUGGACACACUAAAUCUUCACGCCUCAAAAUCCCCAGUUCUGAAUGAAGGAACGACUUCCUUUUAUAUUGCAGUACUUGGGCCUUUGCACUUGUAUUCUCCUGAAUUUAAGGUCACGCGAGUUCCCCUAAAUUCCACAUCUAG